Molecule: long non-coding RNA, 291 nt
Organism: Hylaeus volcanicus
Lineage: Eukaryota; Metazoa; Arthropoda; Insecta; Hymenoptera; Colletidae
Exons: 3
Source: RefSeq, a predicted model, not a curated record
ACACAUCCUGUGCCGUUGUCUCUGUAUGUUGAACCAACACGAGAAAAAAACAACGAAAUAGAUGUAUGGAUCUCUGCUGUUCACAAGAUUGAUUUUUUUCAAGAAACAUAAUAAAAAACACGUUACUAUAAUUUUUCGAAUAUCUCAAAUGACUACAAGAAAGAGUUAGUUACACAAAUUCUCAACACGUCUCACAAAGUAAUUGGAUAACUCACGCAUUUUAUCCAUCCGUUUCUAAAACAAAAUGUUCUUUUAAGUAUGUAUUAUGUGGAAAACGUUAGCGUACAUGAA